RNA transcript from Phodopus roborovskii (desert hamster), 6285 nucleotides. It is a transcript of the gene named cyclin T1, with no coding region annotated. The record is from RefSeq and is a predicted model, not a curated record. The transcript is spliced from 10 exons. Lineage: Eukaryota; Metazoa; Chordata; Mammalia; Rodentia; Cricetidae.
GAAGUUCGUCACGUCGCAGUUGUCUCGGCCCGGCGGAUGUGUGUCGCCGCUUAGGUGACGCUGGGAAGUGCUUGCAGCCCCCGCCGCUGCCUUUUGGUUGAAGCACUAUGGAGGGAGAGAGGAAGAACAACAACAAACGGUGGUAUUUCACUCGGGAGCAGCUGGAAAAUAGCCCGUCGCGUCGUUUUGGCGUGGACUCAGAUAAAGAACUAUCUUAUCGCCAGCAGGCGGCCAAUCUACUCCAGGACAUGGGACAACGUCUUAACGUAUCUCAACUGACUAUCAAUACCGCUAUAGUAUACAUGCACCGGUUCUACAUGGUCCAGUCUUUUACUCAGUUCCAUCGAUAUUCUAUGGCUCCAGCAGCCUUGUUUCUAGCAGCAAAAGUAGAAGAACAGCCAAAAAAACUGGAACAUGUCAUCAAGGUAGCACAUACUUGCCUCCAUCCCCAGGAAUCACUUCCUGAUACAAGGAGUGAGGCCUACCUACAGCAAGUUCAAGAUCUGGUGAUUUUAGAGAGUAUAAUUUUGCAGACCCUAGGGUUUGAAUUAACAAUUGAUCACCCACAUACACAUGUGGUAAAGUGCACACAGCUUGUUCGAGCAAGCAAGGACUUAGCACAGACCUCUUACUUCAUGGCAACCAACAGCCUGCAUUUGACCACAUUUAGCCUGCAGUACACACCUCCUGUGGUGGCCUGUGUCUGCAUCCAUCUGGCUUGCAAGUGGUCCAACUGGGAGAUCCCAGUCUCAACUGACGGGAAGCACUGGUGGGAGUAUGUUGACGCCACCGUGACCUUGGAACUUUUAGAUGAGUUGACACAUGAAUUUCUACAGAUUCUGGAGAAAACUCCUAGCAGGCUGAAACGCAUUAGAAACUGGAGGGCAUACCAGGCUGCCAUGAAAACUAAACCAGAUGACCGAGGAGCAGAUGAGAAUACAUCGGAGCAGACAAUCCUCAAUAUGAUUUCUCAGACCUCUUCAGACUCAACUAUUGCAGGCUUAAUGAGCAUGUCAACUACUUCUACUACAAGUGCAGUGCCUUCCCUUCCUGUUUCUGAAGAGUCCUCCAGCAGUCUAAGUAAUGUGGAUAUGUUGCAAGGCGAGCGAUGGCUGUCUUCCCAACCUCCCUUUAAACUAGAAUCUUCUCAGGGUCAUCGGACGAGUGAGAAUUUAGCACUUAUUGGAGUUGAUCAUUCCUUGCAACAUGAUGGUUCAAAUGCAUUUGUUUCCCAGAAGCAGACUGGUAAGAGCGUACCAUCGGCUAAAGUUUCACUUAAAGAAUACCGUGCAAAGCAUGCAGAGGAGUUGGCAGCUCAGAAGAGACAGCUGGAGAAUAUGGAGGCCAAUGUAAAGUCACAGUAUGCAUAUGCUGCCCAGAAUCUCCUGUCACACCAUGACAGUCAUUCUUCAGUUAUUCUGAAGAUGCCCAUUGAAGGCUCAGAAAAUCCUGAACGCCCUUUUCUGGAAAAGGCUGACAAGUCAGCUCUGAAAAUGAGACUCCCGGUGGCUGGUGGAGAUAAAGCAGCCUCAAAACCAGAGGAGAUAAAAAUGCGCAUUAAAGUCCACUCUACAGCUGAUAAGCACAAUUCUGUAGAAGACAAUAUCACCAAGAGCCGGGAGCACAAAGAAAAGCACAAGCCUCAUCCAUCCAAUCACCACCACCAUCAUAAUCACCAUUCACACAAGCACUCUCACUUACAGCUUCCCGUUGGUACUGUGAACAAACGGCCAAGUGAUCCAAAACAUAGCAGCCAGAGCAGCAGCACCUUAGCACACAAAACCUAUAGCUUGUCUAGUACUUUGCCUUCUUCGAGCUCUGCACGUAAGAGGGGUCCCCCAGAAGAGACUGGGACAGCAGUGUUUGAUCAUCCAGCCAAGAUUGCCAAGAGUACUAAAUCCUCUUCCUUGAAUUUCCCCUUCCCACCUCUUCCUACAAUGACCCAGUUGCCUGGGCAUAGCUCAGACACAAGUGGCCUGCCCUUUUCACAGCCUAGCUGUAAAACUCGAGUUCCUCAUAUGAAACUGGAUAAAGGCCCUCCUGGGGCUAAUGGUCACAACACAACUCAGUCAAUAGAUUAUCAAGAUACUGUGAAUAUGCUUCACUCCCUGCUCAGUGCCCAAGGUGUUCAGCCCACUCAGCCCCCUGCAUUUGAAUUUGUUCAUUCUUAUGGUGAAUAUAUGAAUCCACGAGCUGGAGGAAUCUCCUCCAGAUCAUCCAAUACAGACAAACCUCGACCACCACCCCUCCCAUCAGAACCACCUCCACCACUUCCACCUCUUCCUAAGUGAAAAAAAAAAGGCAGAAACUUCAAAAACAAAAACUUUUGUUUUUGGGUAUUUUUGUUUUUAUUUUGACUACUGAUACUGGACUACGAAAAUUACAUCCCUUAUGAAAUAUGUCACCCUUGGACUAAAGAGUAAAUUGAUACUGAGACAGGUGGGAGGGUGGUGGAGGGCCUCAGUUAUAUCUGCUGCCUCAUACAUCUAUUUUCUUAUAGUUUGUACUGGUAUCAGAGAGGUAGGAUUAUGUUGAAGCUGUGAAGGAUUAAGAACACUCUGUUCUUGGCCUCUCCUCAUCUGAAUGGGGUUGAUUGGAGUAGUUAUCUUCCCUCUUCUUGUUGGAACUGAAACAAACAUGGGGGUGAUCAAGCAGUUGUGUUUAACAUAUCAGAAGAGAGGAAGUAUUUAAACGCCAGAUCUUUAAGAGACUUAAAAAAUAAUUUAAAGAAAAUGGAGGUGGGAUUGAGGAAGAAGCUUGUAGAGCAAGGCUGGCUACUGCCCUACAGAAUGGGCCUUUUCGGUUGGGCUUUGGGAAAGCUCAGGUCUCUAAGGGAAGAAGGGUGUGCCUUGCUUUGCAUGCCCUGUCUGUCGGAGACCAGACCAUGUGUGGUAACAGGUUUGGGAAAAGCCAUGCAGUAAUGAUACUAAAGACAAUGAAAUUGUGAUUUGGGAUUCUGAAGACUUUGCAUUUUAAGUUACAUUAUGAAUGUAAUUCUUGCUUUUUAUCUGUCUAAUGCAAAACAACUGCAUACUUGUGUUUGCAGCCUGUAUGACUUCAGAGAUGAGUGUGAAUUUAACAGCGCUGGUGUAAUGAGUGAGCAAUCCUAGCCAACAGACACUGUUGUGUUUAGAUUGUUUCUUUUGGGUGGCUUUUGAUUCUAGACAGAAAUUCUAAAAAGUUUUGUUUAAAAAAAGUAGAUCAGGAAUCCUUUUAUUGGGCUUGAUUAGUCCAGAUAUUAGGGGAUAUUUUUUGAUAAAGGAAGUCUUUGAAGAGAUAAUGGCUAGGAAAACAUUCUACGCCAAGCUGUCUAACUGAAAAUGCUUUCUAGCUAUUUGGUUCGUUGCAUGAAAAGAAAAAAUAAAUAAAAAAUAUAUAUAUAUACACACACAUAUGUGUAUACACACACGUACGUACGUGUGUGUGUGUGUGUGUACAUUUUUUUAUGCUAUGGAAAAGAUGGUGCUAUGAAAUAAUUUGUCUCUUGUUUUAAUUAGUGAAGUUUCUGUCAUGCCAAGUAGUCUUUAGGGAGAGGUAAGAUUCUUUUCACUGAAAGUCAUAGGGAAACAGAAGCUGUAUGGUGCUGCUUGCCAGGAACAGACUAGGAAAAACACUGAGGCAGUUACUAUUGAUGUGAUGGCCCAGUAGAGAAGAAUGUAUAGGAGGACUAUAUCUUAUGGCAAUUUUGUGGUUCUUAAUCUGCAUGUUUGAAUUGUCCGGAGUGCCUGCCAUUGCUGAGCAAAACCAGGAGCUCCUUCUUGCUAAUCUAUAAGCCAGUGAUAUUUUUUGGUAUGCAACUUUUAAAGUGACAUUUUCUUCUUGGUAUUUCCUGUAUUGUGCAAGAUAGAUGUGUCAUCAUGAUUGCUAAAUUUAGGCUUGGUAUUUGUUUAGAUUUUGUUUCCCAUCCUGACCUUUCCAAAAGGGAAUGUGCCAUUUAGUUUGCUUCUGUAUUUGUGGGAUUGAUAAUAAUUGAUUUGAGAAAAUGUUCUGGGUUUUAAUUCUAAUUAAUGUCAUGUAUUUUCUAAUCACAUGCACUCCCUUACCACACAGUCUGUCAUAUUUGCUGUUAUCGUGGUUCUUCAUGGUAAUACUGUAGUUAAAUUUCCUAGAACUCUGUCAGUAGUGAACUAGAAAAAAGUGCUUACUAGAGUCUAAAGAGCUACGUCCCACUAUAGUCUGGUCUUUCUGCUGUAGAUCAACAUUGAAUGUGGUUUGUUUAUAGACUUUUCCUGUAUUAUUUCCUCCUGGUAUUGUCUACAGUGCCUAGGUCCUGAACCUUGUUGUGGGCUCAGCAUGAACUGCUGCAUUACUUUUGGGUUAGCAGAUGCACCUGCCAGCUAGCAUGCAUAUUGUCCAGUUUCUGUAUAAAUAAGGCUUUUAAGCCAGUAUGUGUGUCUCCCACCUUCAGACCUUCAAAGGUUGAGAAGUAGUAUUUAUAUAGCAAGUCAGCUUUGUAAACACUGCUCUUUGUUUUUUUCUUUUAAUCAAUCUAAACUGUCAAGAAUAAGUGACAGUGGUAAGCAGGCUUGGAGCCUCAACUUCUGUAAAUCUCAUUCCUAAAGUGUUGCUUGACUCUUAUGUUGGCAGAAAUAAAUACCUGUGGAUUGUCUUUAGGGCUUUUAAUCAUACCUGUGUUGUUGGCUAAAAUUUGGUGAAUCAUUAACUAAAGCCAGUGUGGUCUUCUGAAGUAUUUAGUUAUGCCUUUUGGGUUUAGAAAAUAGCUAAAUAUUAGUCUACUUUUCUCAUUCAUGAGUCAUUGUGUUUUGUAUCUGAGACCCUCAGCAUUCUUCCCUUCUAGUAAACGAUUUUAGUGUUUUGGUUUAGUGUAUCCCACAUAUUUCUAUAUUGUUAGGUUCACCGGCAGUGAUAGAAAAAUUGAAAUCUCCAAUUGCAAACAGCAGUAGAUUUAAGUAUUAAAACAAAAUCAUGGUAACAUCACUGCUGGGUUUCCUGAAGCCUUUGCAACCUAAUUCCUCAUUACUUCUCACACCUUGCUUCUAGACAAAGGCAAUUGGAGGGGUCCUAUCUAUCCUAGUAUGGUUGGAAUCUAAAUAUAUACGUUUCCAUUAUUUUGGGAACUGAUUAUUUUUUUAAAGAUUUUUUUUCUUUUGUUGAUGAGUUAUUUUGAUACUCAUGCUAGGAAAAGUGAAAAACUAAGACAUCUUGAGAUUGGAAUGCCUAUUUUAUUCUCCUGGGUUUGGGAGAAUUUAAGCAGUCUAUGCAAUCCAUCAGUUAGUGAGAAAUAGCUUCCCAACAUCCCCCCACUAAGCUUUCAAGGACUCAUACCUCCCCAAAUGCAUUGGCGUUGAUUGAGUUUUGGAUCUUGAUGGUUUAGGAAGCAUUCUUGUUGCACCAAGUUGUCAUUUAUUUCUUCCUCCUCAGUGGAUGUAAGUUUGAAAGAAGAAUGAUACUGUAAUCUUACUUGAUGGAGUGGUCUAAAUUCAGAAUUUGUUUUCUAAGUGGGUGAACUCUGCGUUUUAACAUUUCAAAAGUUUUUAACAUGAACUUGGCAAUGGAAAGGAGAGGGAAAGAACCAUUGUCUGCUUUUUCCCUUUAAGAGUGAGUAUUCCUGGCGUAUGAAGAGAAACUCACUGGUUUGUGUUGCCACGCUUAUUGUGGAGAGGGAUGCUUGACAGCAUGUUAAUUGAAGCCAGAGCAAGUAUGUCUCAUCAGGUGAUCUGGAAAUGCCAGUGGGAGUGGAGGAAGUGCUUAGCUGAUGGCUGUAAUGAAAUAACUUAGAAUAGAAGUGCUGUCUGACCUAAAAAUGCAAAGAAAAUAGUUAGUGUAGGAGUAACUUAGGGUUCUGACCUCGGAACUGACCUAUAUUACCUUACUUUCCACACAUAAAACUGUCCAUUUUCUUAUCAGACCAAAGAACAAAAAGAAAAAGUAAAAUGAGAAAUAAAGUAACACACUUUACCAGUUUAUGUCACUUGUCACUCAGGUACAAUUUUGUGGUGAGCUUUUUUUUUUUUUUUUUUUUUUUUGUCUGAUUUUUGUACUGCUCAGCAUAUUAUUCUGCUGUUGCCUCUGUCCUCCGUGGGGCACCUCAGUUUUGGGUGCUACUUCUGGGAUCUCUACUGCUGUUAGGUGAAUGACGAUAGGAUGUAAGUGACCAUUAUCAUAAGGGCUCUUUGUAAAAAAAACUUUAAAAACUCAAAAAAAAAAAUUUAAAGAAGGAUAUUGUAUACAUUUUAUAGUCUGGCUAUCAGUUUGAUAUCUUGCUGUCAAGUAUGUUUCUCAAUCUGUAUUUAUCCAUCCCAUCAAUAAACGUUAAUGAUGAAA